This 2843-nucleotide long non-coding RNA is filed under the name Homo sapiens (human). RNAcentral describes it as "HSALNT0133038". Lineage: Eukaryota; Metazoa; Chordata; Mammalia; Primates; Hominidae. The record is from RNAcentral.
GAGUCAAAACAUUUCACUUGGUAGUAUUUGUCAAGAUAUUAAAUUUAGUUAGACUCCAUGAAAAAUUAUAGAAGAUAAGCCAACUCAGAAAUGUAUUUAUUCUUCUGGUUUUAACCCAUUUAUGCUGGAGGUUGCAGAUUUUUUUGUGAAAAAUCAGGCCUUGGUGAUGAUCUUGAGCAGUAGGACACAAAUAACUCCCACAAGCUUAGCGUUGCAGUAAUGGGACCCUAGGCAGAAAUGGGUUAAGAUGAACAUGGAGCUUAAUUUGAAUCAGGUGCAUAUAUUUUGACAUUUUUUUGGUAACGUAUCAUAUUCCCACACAAUUAAAAAAUGUCAUUGGUAUAUGUAGAACCAGCAGAGAAAUGCAAAACAUUGAACGAUAAUGUUAGUGUAGACUAUAUGUGAUAAUUUAUGAAUAAUAUUUAAUGGGCAUAGAUGAAUGGUGUAAAACAUUCUGUAACAUAUUUGUCUUCAUUACAGUAUAGCUAGGGCCAAUUCUUUAAAUAUAACUUUAGCAGCAGGAUUUCUGAAUUUUAAAUUAUGGCUUCAGUUGAAUGAAUUACUCUUAAAAUAAAUGGUUUUUGAAGGUACUUGGCAGAUUUAACCUUUCAAAAUAGCCUGAGGCAUUAUGUUUGGGACCAAAACCACCAGCAUUCUCCAAAUGAGAAAGAAUUAAUUUCCAGGAUUAAAAUAGGAUUUUGAAAACAGAAGCUUCAUACUGAAGAGACAGACACAUGAUGAGUUGAGGUCAUUGACAGCAACAGCAGAGAGAUUCAGGGAUUCAGGAUUUUGUUUCAAAUCCUGCAGCCUCAUUCUGUUGUCACUUAAUACAUACUGCCCUCCUACCUCUUGUGGAAUCUCCUUAGCAUCAUAGCCCAGACUUGAGACCUCAAAUUAGGAAAUAGAUGGCUGACGACUCCAGACUCACUGAUGAGGUUUAGAACUCGUUCUGUCAUACCAAGCACUUAAUUCCGGUGCUUAGAAACAUUCGGUAUUUGUUGAAUGAGUGAGUGCCUUAUUUUGGUUAGAGAAAAAGGUUAGUUUUCAUGUUGUACGAGUACUGCUAUUGGAACCAAGAGUUGUGAAUACACAAAAAUAUAUUUCUGAGGGCCAGGCUAUUGUUACGGUUUAGCAUUACACUGACCUUUCUUGCCCUGGCACAUACACACACACACACACACACACACACACACACACACACACACACACAUAUGUGAUCUAAGUAGCUGACUUCAUUAAAAUAUUGUUAAAUUUAACUCUAUUAAAAAUAAAUGUUUGGCCAGGUGCGGUGGCUCACGCCUGUCAUCCCAGCACUUUGGGAGGCCAAGGCGGGUGGAUCAUCUGAGGUCAGGAGUUCAAGACCAGCCCAGCCAACAUGGUGAAACCCUGUGUCUACUAAAAAUACAAGAAUUAGCAGGCAUGGUGGUGGGCACCUGUAAUCUCAGCUACUUGGGAGGCUGAGGCAGGAGAAUCGCUUGAACCCAGGAGGCAGAGGCUGCAAUGAGCUGAGAUCCAUGCCACUGCACUCUAGCCUGGGUGACAGAGUGAGACUCUGUCUCAAAUAAAUAAGUAAAUAAAUCAGUGUUUUAUAAUCUCAGGAAAUGAAUCAAAUAUGACUUUAGCUUUGUAGAACCAACUUGGAUUUCAGUUGUUACGAUACCCAGCGGCUAACAGGAUAAGACGGGCACCACUCCAUUCAAAAUAGGAUUGUGAUUCUCUGUGUAGAAAUGUGUACAUUUUCAUUUUUCUGUGAUAAAAAUGGCUUCUAAUAUUUUAUAUUUUAGUGUCAUGUUAGAGAUUUCAUUCCAUGCUCAUUUGUUCAUUCACAUGUAUUUUUAUUUUUAGCUCUAAGCGAAAGACAUGAGGCCUCAGCCUGAAAUGAGGUUGUUUUGAGGUCAUCUGAUUUCUGACUAGAAGGUGAGCGAUCGCCUCGUCCUGAAACCACUUCAGCCCGCAUGGUAAAUGGCAAAGCCAGCGAGAGGGAGGCCUUCAUGUGUUUCCGUGUCUGUGCUGCCCCAGUUCCUUCCUCUUCAAGAUUAAAAACAUUUUAAAGUUGUAAACCAAAGGUUUGCAAUUUUUUUUGGUGAUGGCAUGUUCAGAAUCUUGGAUCCCUAAGUUCAAUAUAUUGGACAUAUUUAGGAACUCUGGAAAUUAUGUUGUUUUCACAUAUCUAGUAACUUACUAGAUGAAUCAGUAGAUUUCAUUAAAGUAUAUCUAAUAACAGAUAAUUAUGAUGUACUUCUGGGUUGACAUGCAUGUCUCUCAUUAUCAGCUAUCAGUAUUAGUGUCAUGCUUUGGAGACAGUUAUCUUUUGAAGGUUUUGGGGUUCUUAUGAACCUCAUUUUUCCCAGGAAGUUUCUGUAAUUCCUCCUAUGCCUAUUCUUGUCUUUUCUGUCUGCUUGCAGUGUAAGUUAUUUAGAUCAGAGGCAAUUAUUUUUCAGGAAGAAAGAAAUCAUCAAGUGACACUCCUAAAGGCAGUAAAGACAAAAUUUCAGUCUGGAACCGGUCUCAGAAUGGCCUGUAUUAGAAUAUGCAAAGUCCACCCAAAUUAUAUCCAAAUAUACUUGUGGCACAGUGCUACCAGUUUUUAAAAUGAGACGUUACUAUGUAGGGCAGAAGUGCCAAUGAGGAGAGAGAAGGAGCUGUUCAGUUUGCCCUCCAGCCGCCACCUCCUUCUAUUAUUGGCUGAAUGAAUUAGUGCAAAAUUAGUAGCCAAAAGGGUAGACAGUGUGAAUGGAAGGGAGGAGAAGGACAGAAACUUUAAUCUCCAGGAAAGCUUAUUUAUCCUUUAAAAAAUGGAAAGUUGGGCAGGCGCAGUGGCUCACGCCUGUAAUGCCAGCACU